CGGCUGGAGCCGAGCUUCCUGAUACCUAGUGAGCCGCGGUGAUGACAAAUGAAAACAAUAAGCUGUUUCCUAGACAAACAGCUGCCUAGUUUCGCUCUGUCGCCCAGGCUGGAGUGCAGUGGCACAAUCUCGGUUCACUGCAACCUCUGCCUCCCGGGUUCAAGCAGUUCUCUUGCCUCAGCCUCCCAAGUAACUGGUACUACAGAGAAUUGAUACAAAAAAUGAUCAUGUGAAGAAUUUGCAUCUUCUGCAGAACUACCGGUAUCAGUCAGCAGUAGGAGAUUGUAUAAAUUCAGCCUGAGAUUCCAGAAUAUUCUGUGUAUUGACCACCACAGCAAGAAGAAAAAGUCCAUGUAGGACUGAAAUCAUAUGCUGAGCCCUUUCCCAGUGUUGGGAGCAUAUCAAGAUAUUGACACAGUUCCUGUCCUUAAGGUCCUGCUCCCUGCCUGCCCAUCUUCGACCUCAGCCCUCCUCCUCCAAAGCAGUCCCUCAGAACCCCUCCUGGUUUCAGUCUGGAUCCCACCACAUGUUGAAUGGCACCCUCUCAAUCUGGGACAGCGUCCGUUGAUUUUCUCCUGUGAUAAAUGAGGAUUGGAAGAGUAUGAGGACCAUGGCUUAUUCUUAUUCACCAUUAUGUCCUUACAGUGCCUGGAGUAGGGAUGGCACAGAAGAACUAUUCAGCACAUGAAGCAGUGAAUGAAAAGACAAAAGGGCAAGAAAAGGAGAGAACAGUGGAGAAAAAAGAUUUUAAUUAAAUACAUGUGGGAAUUUAUCUCUGGCUAUUAUUUAUUCCACCAAGUACACGGAUGUAUGAAUUCAUUUAGCAAACCUUUCUUUUUUGCACAUUUGCUAUGUAUUAAGUGUUAGAUAUACAAAGAAAGAUAAGAAAGACACAAUCUUUUUUCUUAAGGGGUUCUAAAUCAAAUAGAAAAUAUAGAGUUGUAAAAUAAUAUUUAUAAUACAAUAAAUGUUGUGUCCUCAUAGUUCUCUGAAAGCAAAACAGUAGCUGAAAUAUAAACGAUGAUGUUUUCAUGGAAGAGGAGGAAGAAUGAGGCUCCUACUAUGUGUGACCUGGUGCAUACAUUAUCUCAGUUGAUCCUCAGAGCAAGCUUUUCAUGGUCUAUGUGGUCUGUCCUUUGUUUAUUCUACAGCUGAGGGAUCAGGCUCAGGGAGACUUGAGUUUUGCCCCAGAUCACACAGCCAGCAAGUGACAGAGACAUGAUUCCAUCCAAAUCUUCUGACUUUAAACCCUCCUGCUCUGUGAAUGUUGAGUACCUGACCCAGGUGACUUUUCUGGAGCUUAACCUUGCUCUGACAUAAGAUCAGAGGGAAGAAAACACACUGUUUGGUUUAAGAAGAUUGUCCUGACUCUAACACCCUUGGGGCCUUUAGGGGGAAAGCAAACUCCUGCUUGUUGGCCUCACAAGACAUUUAGCCUCAGCAGCUGGAUUCUGUUCUAAGGAGGCCUGGUUUUCUCAUC
This 1480-nucleotide long non-coding RNA is filed under the name Homo sapiens (human). Its description in RNAcentral is "HSALNT0301445". Lineage: Eukaryota; Metazoa; Chordata; Mammalia; Primates; Hominidae. The record is from RNAcentral.